CCUACGGGAGGCAGCAGUGAGGAAUAUUGGUCAAUGGCCGAGAGGCUGAACCAGCCAAGUCGCGUGAGGGAAGACGGCCCUACGGGUUGUAAACCUCUUUUGUCGGGGAGCAAAGCGAACCACGUGUGGUUCAUUGAGAGUACCCGAAGAAAAAGCAUCGGCUAACUCCGUGCCAGCAGCCGCGGUAAUACGGGGGAUGCGAGCGUUAUCCGGAUUUCUUGGGUUUAAAGGGUGCGCAGGCGGAGGUGCACGUCAGCGGUCAAAUUGCGGGGCUCAACCCCGUACUGCCGUUGAAACUGCAUGCCUUGAGUGCGCGAGAGGUAUGCGGAAUGCGUGGUGUAGCGGUGAAAUGCAUAGAUAGCACGCAGAACGCCGAUUGCGAAGGGAGCAGACCGGCGCGCAACUGACGCUCAUGCACGAAAGCGUGGGUAUCGAACAGGAUUAGAUACCCGUGUAGUG
RNAcentral lists this ribosomal RNA (459 nucleotides) under uncultured bacterium. RNAcentral describes it as "partial 16S ribosomal RNA". It matches the Rfam family "Bacterial small subunit ribosomal RNA", at positions 338 to 795 of the family's 1533-position model. The record is from RNAcentral.